This 70-nucleotide transfer RNA is filed under the name Pseudoclavellaria amerinae. RNAcentral's name for it is "tRNA-Val". Lineage: Eukaryota; Metazoa; Arthropoda; Insecta; Hymenoptera; Cimbicidae. The record is from RNAcentral.
CAAAUUAAAUCUUAGUUUAAAGAGUUUUAUUUACAAUAAAAAGAUUAUUGUUUAAUUCAAUAUAAUUUGA